GCCCAGAUGCUACUUGGCCUCCAGCAGACUUUGUGCUGUGACCAUUGGCUGGAGGAGCCUCUUCAGUUUCUGUGGCUCUUCCGUAACUCUCUCACAUGGAUAGACCUAUUUUAGUCUGACCUGUCCUAAAGCAUAGCCAGCUGCUCUGGCUGUCCUGCAGGGUAAGGACAAAGCAGUUUUCUAUUCAUGUCCCAAGGUCAGUACAAAAACAAACACAUUUUAUAUCUGAUAGCAAAAAGCAUUCAUCAGUGCAACUUUUUCAUUCUGUAAAUGGCCACAGAUUUCACAAGGUGAUCACCCUGGAUUUAGGGAAGGCUGUGCUCCAGAUAUGUAGUGACUUGGAUGUAUUAUGAAUAUGCACAUGACACAUUUCAUUGCCUACAAUUAGCAGUAAACAGCCUUUUGAGGCUUGAAGUUUGUUAUGCGCCACAGUGUUACAGGACAAAGCAAGUUCACUCUCAAGAAACAAGAUUUUUUAGCAUACAGCCUGGCAAAUUUAGCCUGGGAAAUGAAGAAACUUAUUCAGGAUGACUUGUCAUAGUACAUUUACUAUAGAAAUCUAUGCCAGCUCAGAAGUUACCACUUUACCCCCCAGCAGCAGCAGUUUUAAUUGGGCCACAGAAGGAGUCUUGCAGAGGUGGAAGGUAUUUGGGUUUCCCUGAGGCUCAGAGUUCUUCCCUGAAAGGAAGCCUCACAUCUUGUUGGCUCCAAGUAAAAGGAUAAAUUGUAGUGUGCUUGAGUAUUAAGUUGUACAACAUCAGCUGCAGAUUUGCAGUUUGGGUUGAUGUGCUAAAGUACGGUAUCCUGCUGAACAUCCUUUGUGUGAUAUAUCUGCCUACCUCUGCCUUGACAGUGUUUGCUUCUCCCUCUUGAUCCUGCCUGUAAAGUCACAAGUAGUAUGUUUCAUUUAUCCCAACCGUGUACCUUUUUCCUAAUGACCUCAUUUUUCUAAAACAGAGGAAGAUGGGGCAGUAAUGGGGAGGACAUUUGUUCUGUAUUCCUGUACAUACCUUCUCCCAAGACUCUCUCACUCUACACUGACAUGACGGUGGAAUUAAAGAAGUAUUUCUUCAUAAAAAGCCAUAGCUGUGAAUAUUCAUCUUUCAAGUAAAGCGCCAUGGAAGUGGGCCUUCUUACAGGACUCUUGCCGGCUGCCACUCCUGCUGACAAAGAAGAUUGCAAGAAGAAUUUGAAUAAAGGACAAACGUCACAUAUGCUGUGUGCUAUGGAGGACAAAUGCUGAAUACAAAAUAUGUUUAAUUGCUGAGUUAAUUAUCUCACUAAAGUCUAAAUGUUGUUUUUCGGCACUCUUCCCCUCCCCCCCCCAGUUGUUUACUUUUAUCAGUUAGAAAAUAAAAAAUCAAUGUCAUGAAAAACAUAAUUAUAUUCCUACUAAUCUGGAGUGUUUUCUCAUUUGAGUACUGCAGUCUGAUGCAUUUUAUCACUUUCCAUCAGAUUAUAGCAGUGGAAAUUGCCAGCUAAAAGCUAUGGCUCUAGAGCAAAAAAGGGGAAGAAGAAAACCCACCCCAGAGCCAUGUGCCUUGCCAAUCAAAUCUUGCUCCUAAUGACAAAGCUUCUGUGAUUUCCUUUCUGACAAUACAUGAAUAGCUGGUGAAUAAUUGGUUCAACAGGAGCUUCAUUAAAGUCCAAGAGAGAAAACAGGAUCUUUCAUGUGAAUAAUUUGGAAUGAUUGGUAAAGACGAGGCAUUAUUAUAGGAUUGCCUUCUGCUCCACAGUCUGAAAUCCGCAGCCUCUUUCUUGCAGAAGUGUGAAAACAUUUUGUAAAUAGUUCUAGCUACUCCCAAGUUCUGGAUGAUCUUGCUACUUAGCGAGAUGACUUUUUGGUUGAUAUUGUUUCUGCAUUAAAUGCACCCAUUCUUUACACAAAUGAAAGAAACUGAGCUUCGUCUGGGGAGCCCAGCUGAGGACACAUCCUCACACUCCCAGUUUGAACAGAUCUGGUGUAAGCUCCACCACUCCUCCGCCACUUCACUGUAAAAGAUUGAUGGCAGCAACCCACAGGAACCCAGACCCUGUGGAAAUGUGCACUGGCCUACCCCACUGCAGUGCUUCAGUGUGUGCCACCCAACCUGGAACAGCAAAUAUGGAGGAGGUCCGUGCACCAACCAGCCUGUCCUCAGCUGCUCAACCACUGCGGCCUUCCUGGUGGGCAGAAAUAACAGCUGAGGCUCAGCCUGGCCUUUGGUCAGAGUGGUGAACAGUACACAGGAAAGUGACCUGUGGCCAUUUACAGGAGCAGAAAAGGUCAUGCCAGAGAGCAGGUGUAAGGCUCUCCUCCUGGUACCACUGGUCCUGGUGGCCAGGCAGCACUGGACAAUGGGGCCCUGUCAGAGCUCAUGCAGCUCUGUGUCACCCACCAGCAAGUUUGGAAAAGACAAAUGAAGCAGAGAUGAGCUCUGGGUUUCAGGAACUGACCAAACCCUGGGGUUGGAGUCUGACACCCUACAAACACAGGGCAAUUGUUGAGUUUUGCAUCUAAGCUCCCUCCUCAGUGACUGGAACCCUGGCCUGCAGAGCCCAGUGUUUCUAACCAGAGCCAGCUUACCUGGCCUUGCUUGGGAUGUCAGGUGGCCCUAACUUGCCAUUUGGCAUCCUAAUCUCUAGCUGUACCUCGGUUUUCAACAAACAGCCCCUUUUUUUAAAAAAAAAAAAAAAAAAA
Long non-coding RNA from Gallus gallus (chicken), 2680 nucleotides. The record is from Ensembl. NCBI's taxonomy places the organism in Eukaryota, Metazoa, Chordata, Aves, Galliformes, Phasianidae.